CAGCAGCCGCGGGAACACGUAGGGUGCAAGCGUUAAUCGGAAUUACUGGGCGUAAAGCGUGCGCAGGCGGUUAUAUAAGACAGAUGUGAAAUCCCCGGGCUCAACCUGGGAACUGCAUUUGUGACUGUAUAGCUAGAGUACGGCAGAGGGGGAUGGAAUUCCGCGUGUAGCAGUGAAAUGCGUAGAUAUGCGGAGGAACACCGAUGGCGAAGGCAAUCCCCUGGGCCUGUACUGACGCUCAUGCACGAAAGCGUGGGGAGCAAACAGGAUUAGAUACCCCGUGUAGUCCCUGUCUCUUAUA
Molecule: ribosomal RNA, 301 nt
Filed under: uncultured bacterium
Lineage: Bacteria
Description: partial 16S ribosomal RNA
Rfam family: Bacterial small subunit ribosomal RNA
Source: RNAcentral